CUCCCGCAAAGACAGCAAGGCCCAUGAACAGGCCCUGGCUGAACUGACCAAGAAGCUGGGAGCUUUGGAGGAGCCUGACAUGACUGGCCAACUGGUCGACCUGCCUGAAUAUUACAGCUGGGGGGAGGAACUGACAGAGACCCAGCACAUGAUCCAGCGACGCAUCAUGGAGUCUGUGAACGGGCUGAAGUCUCUCUCAGCAGGAAGGGUGGUGGUUGUGAAGAAUCAGGAGCAUCACAACGCAUUGGGAGUGAUCCUACAGGUCUCCUCGAACUCCACCAGCAGAGUAUUCACAACCCUGGUCUUGUGUGAUAAGCCCUUGUCCCAGGACCCACAGGACAGGGGGCCAGCCACUGCAGAGGUGGCUUAUCCAGAUGACCUCGUGGGAUUCAAGCUGUUCCUGCCUGAAGGGCCUUGUGACCACACCGUGGUCAAGCUCCAGCCAGGAGAUAUGGCUGCCAUCACCACCAAGGUGCUCCGGGUGAAUGGGGAGAAGAUCUUGGAGGACUUCAGCAAGAGGCAGCAGCCAAAAUUCAAGUCAGAGAUGCUAGGGAGGCCCUUCUCCUCCAGAGGGGAAGGAUCCUCCCCUUGCAGCUGUGACCACUGCUGUCCAGGAACUGCUGCGUCUGGCUCAGGCCCACCCAGCCGGACCCCCCACCCUCGACCCUGUCAAUGACCUGCAGCUCAAAGA
Molecule: small RNA, 691 nt
Filed under: Pan troglodytes (chimpanzee)
Lineage: Eukaryota; Metazoa; Chordata; Mammalia; Primates; Hominidae
Description: processed transcript
Source: RNAcentral